CCUACGGGAGGCAGCAGUGGGGAAUAUUGCACAAUGGGGGAAACCCUGAUGCAGCGACGCCGCGUGAGUGAAGAAGUAUCUCGGUACGUAAAGCUCUAUCAGCAGGGAAGAUAAUGACGGUACCUGACCAAGAAGCCCCGGCUAACUACGUGCCAGCAGCCGCGGUAAUACGUAGGGGGCAAGCGUGAUCCGGAUUUACUGGGUGUAAAGGGAGCGUAGGCGGCCUGCCAAGUCUGGUGUGAAAACCCGGGGCCCAACCCCGGGCCUGCAUUGGAAACUGGCGGGCUGGAGUGUCGGAGGGGCAGGCGGAAUUACUAGUGUAGCGGUGAAAUGCGUAGAUAUUAGGAGGAACACCGGUGGCGAAGGCGGCCUGCUGGACGAUGACUGACGCUGAGGCUCGAAAGCGUGGGGAGCAAACAGGAUUAGAUACCCGAGUAGUC
RNAcentral lists this ribosomal RNA (440 nucleotides) under uncultured bacterium. RNAcentral's name for it is "partial 16S ribosomal RNA". It matches the Rfam family "Bacterial small subunit ribosomal RNA", at positions 338 to 795 of the family's 1533-position model. The record is from RNAcentral.